AGAAAUGAUAAAAGAAGAAGGAUACAGAGGAAAUGGAACAGACCUCAGAAUGAUGAGAAUUGUGGAAGAUACCAUAGAUGAGUUGAAGAGGAGAGGUCUGCAAGUAAAAUUGAUGAACAUAACGCAACUUUCAGAGUACAGGAAAGACGGUCACCCAUCAAUUUACAGGAAGCAAUGGCUGGCCUUAAGUGAAGAACAGUUAGCGAAGCCAACUAGUUAUUCGGAUUGUACACAUUGGUGUCUUCCCGGGGUUCCUGAUGUUUGGAAUGAGCUCCUGUAUGCUCACAUUUCCACAUGAUAUUACAAGAUUAAUUUUAGUCAGAUUUGACGAAAGUAUUGUAUUUUUUGAUACUUCAUUGUCUAAGAGUUUUCGGUUCUUAUGAUUGAAAUUUCAGUUUGAAGUCGAAUCCUCUACAUUAUAAAUGACAUUGUCACUUUAUAGUUCAACUCACCUGGGUGUUGGCCCUCAUUACCAAUUUUUUCGGGGAAAAGACCUCAAAUAUCACUGUAGGAAAAAAUGUCUCCAACCUAUCAAUGCAAUAUGAAACGUCAGAUCGUAUAGUAUUAUCCUUCUUUUAGCAUUUUGUAACCCUAAACAUUAUUUUAUCUCCUGUUUCAACCCUAAAAUGCCAUAUCGUCUAGCCUUUUGCAGUGAUUUUUAUACCUAAAUGCAGCACGAUAUAGCUUUUUUUUUCAAAAAUCAAAACGGUCGAUUAUCUAACAUUAAUAAGUGGUAUUUUGGGUCAUUUUUCACAACUCGGGUAUUUUGGACAUGUAGUGACAAAAAUUGUGACAUAUGGGGUCUUUUCACAACUACCACGACUCAUCUGCAAUCCUCAUCUAGAAUAGAGGAGAUGAAUAUGAAAUAGCACAUAAAAGUUCAAAAUAUAACUGAAUCAUCGCUUACCAAAAAAAAUUGAAUCGUCAUUCGCGAGAGCUCAAAGUGGCAGAACAAGUUGAUGUGAGAUGAGUUAUAAAAGGUUCUCUGUCCUGUUUUUCUUGUGUGGGCGCAGGCCACAUGCUAAAAAUUACAAGUCUGAUACAUCCAAAAAAUUCAAUCAUCACUUGCAAAAGAGUAAUGAGAGGCUACAUUUUCACCACCAGCUUAACUACUAGUAUGUACUUGAGAUAACAUAACUAGAGUGGACAGAAUUUUAAAGAGUAAAUAUAACUUAUGGCAAAACUAGUUCCUUCAACAAUCAGGCACAGUUUACAGUCCUCAGUAGCAUUCUUGAUUGCAGUAUUUGUCAUUGCUGUCAUCUAUUUCGCCUGGAAAAAUGGAGGCCUAUAUGAUACUAGUACUAGUAAAUGGAGUGCUGAUCAAAAUUACUCGUCAGAAAGCUGCAAUUUGUUUUCCGGGAAAUGGGUAUUUGACAACGAGUCCUACCCUCUAUACAGAGAAGAAGAAUGCACGUUUGUGUACGAUGAAAAUGCUUGCCAAAUGUUUGGAAGAAAGGAUUUGAAUUAUCAACACUGGAGAUGGCAGCCUCAUCGAUGUAACCUCAAAAGGUCUCUCCCACAUUGUGCUCUUAAAAGAUUUUUCAAUCAAGUUAAAAGUACAAAUGCUUAUAUUUGUUAUCUUUAUAAUCUAGGUUCAAUGCCACAGUAUUGCUAGAGAGACUGAGGAACAAAAGGAUGGUGUUUGUCGGAGAUUCAUUGAUUCGGGGCCAAUGGCUCUCGAUGGUGUGCCUAGUCAACAACUUUAUACCUCCAGCCCUCAAAUCCAUGCACUACAGCUUCAAUAACUCCUUGAUCACACUGAAAGCUCAAGUGAGUAUAUGAAAUCAUGACUACUACAAAUUUGCAUUCUCUCCAUGAAUAUUUUUUUCCCCUGAAACAUGUUGUAGGUAUAUAAGGUUUCUUACUUUCAGAUGGUAUAUAUGCAACUAGACUUUUGGUUCAGUUCCUGGUAAAUUUUUUGCUUAUUAUGAUGAAGGAAUAUAAUGUUUCGAUUGAGUUCUAUUGGUCGCCAUUGCUAGUGGAAUCAAACUCAGACGAUCCAUGGAACCAUCGCUUUCCAGACCCGAUUGUAAGAGCACAAACCAUUUACAAGCAUGCUAGGCACUGGACUGAUGCAGAUAUACUCAUCUUCGGUACCUAUCUCUGGUGGAUAGGGCCUUCAAAAUCUAUGAACACAUUGUAUGUACAACCACUCAGACUAUUCAUUCUAUCAGUUUCAUUCUAAUAAUAUGGCAUAGAUUAUAUAGAAGUUGUUAUUAAAAUGAAAUCAUCAGGUGGGGUUCAUUCGAAAGUGGGAAUGGAAUAUUCAAAAGAGUAGGGAUGUUACGCAGUUAUGAGAUGGCCUUGAAGACAUGGUCAGACUGGCUAGAAAUCCAUAUCGACCGUAACAAGUCACAGUUAUUUUUCAUGAGCAUGUCUCCAACUCAUAAAAUACAGAGGAAAUGGAACAGACCCCAGAAUGAUGAGAAUUGUGGAAGAUACCAUAGAUGAGUUGAAGAGGAGAGGUUUGCAAGUGAAAUUGAUGAACAUAACUCAACUUUCAGAGUACAGAAAAGACGGUCACCCAUCGAUUUACAGGAAGCAAUUGCGGGCUUUAACUGAGGAACAACUCGCAAAGCCAACUAGUUAUUCAGACUGUAUACAUUGGUGGCUUCCCGGGGUUCCUGAUGUUUGGAAUGAACUCCUAUAUGCUCACAUUUUCUCAUGACAUUCAAUACAAGUAAUUCUAAUCGAAUUGGACGAAAGGAUCGUGUUUGUUUGAUGUUUCAUUGUUUAGAUUAGUCUUUAAGCGGGAGUGCAUGCUUUUAUGCAUCUUAAAUUACGUGUAAAAAGUCAAAGUGACAUGUAAAAGGGGAUUAUGAUACUAUACUCCAGACUGUGAAAGAGUGAUGUGCAAUGAACGUCUUUAGACUAGUUAGAUUGUGUAGUGUUAUCUCUCUUUUAGCGUUUUGUAACCCUAAAUGCUAUUUUAUGUCGUGUUUCAACCCUAAAAUGC
Molecule: long non-coding RNA, 2956 nt
Filed under: Daucus carota (carrot)
Lineage: Eukaryota; Viridiplantae; Streptophyta; Magnoliopsida; Apiales; Apiaceae
Description: long non-coding RNA (DCAR_LNC002837)
Source: RNAcentral